CCUACGGGAGGCAGCAGUAGGGAAUCUUCCACAAUGGACGAAAGUCUGAUGGAGCAACGCCGCGUGAGUGAAGAAGGGUUUCGGCUCGUAAAGCUCUGUUGGUAGUGAAGAAAGAUAGAGGUAGUAACUGGCCUUUACUUGACGGUAAUUACGUAGAAAGUCACGGCUAACUACGUGCCAGCAGCCGCGGUAAUACGGAGGUGGCAAGCGUUGUCCGGAUUUAUUGGGCGUAAAGCGAGUGCAGGCGGUUCAAUAAGUCUGAUGUGAAAGCCUUCGGCUCAACCGGAGAAUUGCAUCAGAAACUGGUGAACUUGAGUGCAGAAGAGGAGAGUGGAAUUCCAUGUGUAGCGGUGAAAUGCGUAGAUAUAUGGAGGAACACCAGUGGCGAAGGCGACUCUCUGGUCUGCAACUGACGCUGAGGCUCGAAAGCAUGGGUAGCGAACAGGAUUAGAUACCCGUGUAGUC
This 465-nucleotide ribosomal RNA is filed under the name uncultured bacterium. Its description in RNAcentral is "partial 16S ribosomal RNA". It matches the Rfam family "Bacterial small subunit ribosomal RNA", at positions 338 to 795 of the family's 1533-position model. The record is from RNAcentral.